RNAcentral lists this ribosomal RNA (303 nucleotides) under uncultured bacterium. Its description in RNAcentral is "partial 16S ribosomal RNA". It matches the Rfam family "Bacterial small subunit ribosomal RNA", at positions 507 to 807 of the family's 1533-position model. The record is from RNAcentral.
AGCAGUCGCCGCGGGAAAACGUAGGUGGCAAGCGUUGUCCGGAUUUAUUGGGCGUAAAGCGAGCGCAGGCGGUCAAUUAAGUCUGAUGUGAAAGCCCCCGGCUCAACCGGGGAGGGUCAUUGGAAACUGGUUGACUUGAGUGCAGAAGAGGAGAGUGGAAUUCCAUGUGUAGCGGUGAAAUGCGUAGAGAUGUGGAGGAACACCAGUGGCGAAGGCGACUCUCUGGUCUGUAACUGACGCUGAGGAGCGAAAGCGUGGGGAGCGAACAGGAUUAGAUACCCCGGUAGUCCCUGUCUCUUAUAC